GUGGAUUAGAUACCCUGGUAGUCCACGCCGUAAACGAUGAUAACUAGCUGUCCGGGCACUUGGUGCUUGGGUGGCGCAGCUAACGCAUUAAGUUAUCCGCCUGGGGAGUACGGUCGCAAGAUUAAAACUCAAAGGAAUUGACGGGGGCCUGCACAAGCGGUGGAGCAUGUGGUUUAAUUCGAAGCAACGCGCAGAACCUUACCAGCGUUUGACAUGGUAGGACGACUGGCAGAGAUGUCUUUCUUCCCUUCGGGGACCUACACACAGGUGCUGCAUGGCUGUCGUCAGCU
RNAcentral lists this ribosomal RNA (290 nucleotides) under uncultured bacterium. RNAcentral's name for it is "partial 16S ribosomal RNA". It matches the Rfam family "Bacterial small subunit ribosomal RNA", at positions 773 to 1060 of the family's 1533-position model. The record is from RNAcentral.